AGCAUUAUAGAACGUGGGGAGCAUGAGAAAUACACGGAGGUGGAAACGCCGGAGUGGCUGGCGGGUAAAGGCAGCGGGCGCAGAUGAAGCGGGCUGGGCGUCCCACGCGCAGAACCGUCCCGGACAGAAGCCGCAGGGCUGCGCUGGCUGGAAAAAGGAACGCGAGUACAGCGCGCGUGGCGCGGGGUCUGCUCCAGGACGGAAUCUUUUGGGUGGCCCGCAUGAGGGGUUUGCAGGACCCCGGGCCUUUGGGAAGUUAUCUGCUAAACUCCAGUAGACCCUGAGGAGCAGCGGCUCAUGAAUCUUCUUAAACUUCUGUCAUCAGCGGCUGGGCCAGCUGAAGGUGACCAUGGCACACGAGGGAGAGAGAAGCCCGCGAGAGGCGGAGAAAUGUGGGGUCGUCCAGGAGGGUCGACAAGGCAAAGAACCUGAAGACGACCCAAAAGGAGUUGAACUUCCUCUCUUUUUAGAAGAAUGGAUUUCUCGGAGUCUGAAAAAUUUAUGGUUCUUCUCUGGAAGAAUUUUAUUUUAAAGAGGCGGCGAUGUAUUGCUUUAGUUG
RNAcentral lists this long non-coding RNA (559 nucleotides) under Homo sapiens (human). RNAcentral describes it as "non-protein coding lnc-ANKS4B-5:3". Lineage: Eukaryota; Metazoa; Chordata; Mammalia; Primates; Hominidae. The record is from RNAcentral.